Molecule: ribosomal RNA, 253 nt
Filed under: uncultured bacterium
Lineage: Bacteria
Description: partial 16S ribosomal RNA
Rfam family: Bacterial small subunit ribosomal RNA
Source: RNAcentral
UACGAGGGGGGCGAGCGUUGUCCGGAAUUAUUGGGCGUAAAGAGCUCGUAGGCGGUCUGUCGCGUCGGCUGUGAAAACCCGGAGCUCAACUCCGGGCCUGCAGUCGAUACGGGCAGACUGGAGUUCGGCAGGGGAGACUGGAAUUCCUGGUGUAGCGGUGAAAUGCGCAGAUAUCAGGAGGAACACCGGUGGCGAAGGCGGGUCUCUGGGCCGAUACUGACGCUGAGGAGCGAAAGCGUGGGGAGCGAACAGG